GGGGUUGUGGCUCAGUGGUAGAGCGCUCACUUACCACAUGUAAGGCCCUGGGUUUGAAUCUCAGCACCA
Molecule: transfer RNA, 69 nt
Filed under: Urocitellus parryii (Arctic ground squirrel)
Lineage: Eukaryota; Metazoa; Chordata; Mammalia; Rodentia; Sciuridae
Also listed under: 1 other name
Description: Spermophilus parryii (Arctic ground squirrel) tRNA
Rfam family: tRNA
About the family: Transfer RNA (tRNA) molecules are approximately 80 nucleotides in length. Their secondary structure includes four short double-helical elements and three loops (D, anti-codon, and T loops). Further hydrogen bonds mediate the characteristic L-shaped molecular structure. tRNAs have two regions of fundamental functional importance: the anti-codon, which is responsible for specific mRNA codon recognition, and the 3' end, to which the tRNAs corresponding amino acid is attached (by aminoacyl-tRNA synthetases). tRNAs cope with the degeneracy of the genetic code in two manners: having more than one tRNA (with a specific anti-codon) for a particular amino acid; and 'wobble' base-pairing, i.e. permitting non-standard base-pairing at the 3rd anti-codon position.
Source: Rfam by way of RNAcentral